Molecule: RNA transcript, 7199 nt
Organism: Olea europaea var. sylvestris
Lineage: Eukaryota; Viridiplantae; Streptophyta; Magnoliopsida; Lamiales; Oleaceae
Exons: 4
Source: RefSeq, a predicted model, not a curated record
UCCCACACCCAAUCUCCUCUUAAACCCAAAGCCUAUUGGGUUCCAUUUUACUUUGGGUGAAUGCAAGUACAUUAUUCAAGAUAUUGAUGCACACUCUGAUUGGGUUUCUUGUGUCCAAUAUUCUCCUAAUACACUUUAGGUGACUAUAGUUUCUGGGUCAUGGGAUAGGACAGUGAAAAUCUAGAAUUUGAGAAAUUGCAAGUUGAAAUCCACCUUGGCUGGGCAUACUGAGUCGGUUAAUACAGUGGUUGUUUAGCCUGAUGGGUCCUUGUGCACGAGUGGUGGGAAAGAUGGGAUGAUAUUUCUAUGGGAUUUGGCGGAAAGGAAGAAGCUUUACUCGUUGGGAGCUGGUUCAACUAUUCAUUCACUUUGCUUCAAUCCCAACAGGUAUUUGCUUACUGAAGCCAGCAUUAAGAUUUGAGACUUGGGUUUGCUGGAGUGUGAGGACGAGGAGGAAAGAAGUAGAGAGGAGUUGUUGGUGAAAACAUUAUCAUAGUCGGUUGAAUAGGACAUGCAUAGAGGGGUAAAACGGAACCAACUAGUAUUGGGUUUACGAGGAGGUGGGUUGUGGAGAUGGAUAUGAGAAUGAGAAGAUGAAUGGCAAUUGGGUUUUUCCUAAGAAUGUUUUAAUGAGGUAUAUUCUUUGUGUAAUGAAUGUCAAUAACCUGAAAGACAUUUACCCUCAAAACAACAUAAGAAGUCAACAACCCUAUCUUCAAUGUCUCUCUCACGCCCACAAAUCCACUCCACUUUCCACAACGCGCCUCUCUGUUUUCCUCCCCAAAUCGCUGACAUCAGCCGACGGUCGGCUGAUAGUCCAUGGUCUAAGGGUCGCCAGAUCCAAGUAUUUUGCUAUCUUAUGUAACUAGCAAGAAGGUGUUCUCUUUGGACUUUUGGUGACCGGUCAGUAAUACUGGAUUAUAACUUCUAUUUCAGUUUUUAGGUGUGCACUUCUUGCUUUUUUUCCCCUUCAACUUGAUGUUUAGUAGGACACGUCUUUCCUUCUAUUUACUCUUUUUGUGCUGUAAGCAUUCUCAAGACUACUUUGUUAAAAUUGUUGUGUUAGGGUAACAUCUUUAAUGGUGUAUAAAUUGCCUUUAGAGUAUCAGCGGAGUUAGGUGCUACCUAUUUAGGCAUACGUGUGUGAACAUGGUUUAGGGAGGGAUGCUAUGUGGACUGCUAUUACUCAUAUCUCUAUUUUGAAAAUAGUACUUAGUGAAUCCUAAUUUGCAAGCGAAAAAUAUGCUAACAGAUUUCAUAGAUAAUAUGCACUGCCAAUUUAUUGAAUUUCCUCGCAGUCUUUUGGAUUCAUAUACACCAGCGCCAUUCGUGGACAAUUGGUGAACUACAAACCAACCAACCCGACCGAACUUGAUUGAGUUGGGUUGGGUUGGUUGGGUUUAAAUAUGUAAUUGGGUUAAUUUUAUGCCAAACCUAACAUGUUGGGUUUAGGUUGAGUAAAAAUCCAACCCACGCCCACCCCUACAAGAAGGGACAUAUAUGUAAUUUUAUUAUUUUAAAUAAAUUUUAGGGCCAAUGAAUAAUAAACUUCCAAGCAUAGGUCAAAAAGUUUUAAAACCUCCACCAUAACCACUCAAAAUUGAUCUGCUCAUAAAAACUAAAUACAAAUACUUUAAAAAACACUCAUAACUAGUACGUCGAAACUCCCAAGAAUGCUCUAAGAGACUUUAUAAAUAUAAAAUACUUUUUAUUUUUAAGAGUUAAUGCAAAAAAAUAAACUUUUAGUGACUCAAAGUUUCAUAUACAAUUACUGCAUUUAAUAAGUUACAGAUUUCAAUACUAUAUUUCUUAAAUUAUUCAAACCACAUUUUAAUUCACUGACCAUUGACAUACAAAAUAUUAUGUAAAAUAAAAUAUGAGGAGAAAUCAAUAAACGUUCCUUGAGAAAAACAAAAUGAAGAGAGUCAAAAUCAAGAGCGUUGUUAGAGUGUCUAAAGAUUUUAAUUCUCUAAAUUUAAAGAUAUUUCAAUAAUGCAUCAUUAUAAAUAAAGAAUCUCUUAUUGAUACUCUUACACUAGCUAUUUAAAGAGCUAUCUUAUCCUAUCUUGUCUUGCUUAGAUAAGCAAAAGCAAUUCACUAUCAAAUGUAGUCUUCUUGAUAUAUCAAGUCUAAAUGGUGAGACGUUUAACAAUUUUGAAGGAUAGGAAAGUUGGUAUGGAUUCUAAAACCUAGCCAAAUUACAAAUGUGUUUUAAUUAUACUAUUUCAACUAUGGAUAGCAGUCAGUCAAAAUAUAUUAUACUCAGUUUCAAAUAGUUUUGAUUGCAAUGAUGUAACUUGGUAAACUCUAAAAGGAAACAUCCACCACCCCAUACCACAGGUCAAACAACACAAUUCACUACAUUAAUUGAUCAAAAAUACAAUUAUCAAUUUUGUAAUUUCGCAAAAUUAACAAAAAAAAUAAUCAAAAGAAAUCUAAGAACAACUCCCCAAUAUUUUUUUCUUUUGACUUGUUAAUGGAGUGGAAGCAAAUCCUCCGGUCUUACUUUAUCACCACUUCUCUAUAAAACUAAUGAAUUGAAAAGACAAAUCCAUUUUUUUUUCUUUUUUUGAAAAACCCAUGAAGCAUGCUUUCAAUGUUUAGUACUUGUCUACAUCAUGGUUUGAAAACGGCACACUAUAAGCUUCUUUUAUGAAGAUUUAACUCCUAAAACAAAACAAUUUGUGGAAACAAUAUGUAAUGGUGAAUUUUUAGAUAAAAAUCUUGAUCGAGCUUUGAAAUUUUUAGGUCAUAUAGUUGAAAAUUCUCAAUUUGGCAAACAGAGAAAGCGAUCGAAAAUUCAAUCAGAUCUAGUCUUGCUAGUUCUAGUGAAGGAAAAUAUCAAUUGAGUCAAGAGAAUGAUUUAAAUGUUAGGAUUGUUACUUUAUCUAAAAAGGUUGAAGCCAUGUAAUUACAAUGAUGAUUGACCUAAUUAGGGACGAACUAGUAAAUUUAAGAUUUUCAUGUGUUCUUUUGGUUAUUUAUAUAUCCAAGGAAGAGUUGAUUGUGUUUCUAAAUAGGUAGAGGCAAUUUCUUUUAAACAUAAUGAUAACAAAUUCAUAUUGAAAUAUUUGAAAGAAAAAUUUUUGUCAAAAUUUGGAAUACCUCGAGCCAUUAUAAGUGAUAGGUUUACACUUUUGUAAUAGACCUUUUAAGGCCCUAAUGAAAAAAUAUGAGAUUACUCGUUAAGUGUCUACUCCUUAUCACUCGAACACAAGUGGUCAAGCUGAACUUGCAAAUAGGGAGACUAAACACAUCUUAAAAAAACAAUGAAUUCAAAUAGAAAUGAUUGGUCUUUACGUUAACUGAUGCACUUUAGACCUACUGUACAGCUUUCAAAACACUUCUUGGUAUGUCCUCUUAUUGACAUGUUUUUGAAAGCCUUGUCAUUUACUUGUUGAAUUAGAACAUAAAGCAUUUUGGGCUAUUAAAAUGUUCAAUUUCAGUUUAGAUAAGGCGUGUUCACUAAGGAAACUUCAACUAAACGAGUUGAAAGAAAUCAUGAAUGAAGUUUAUGAGAACUCUUGAAUUUACAAGGAAAGAAUGAAGGUAUAUCAUGAUAAAAAUAUUGUUGAAAAAACUUUUUUGAGUCUUUCCAAAAAGUUCUUUUGUACAACUCAAUGUUACAAUUAUUUUCUAGAAAACUAAGAUCAAAGUGGACUGGUUCUUUCAUUGUUGAACCUAUUUACCCACACGGAGCUAUAAAAAUUGAAGAUGCAAUUAAAUAAAAUAUUUUUGGAGUUACAUCGUUUGACUUCUUUUUUGAAAAUCUCUCUAAAUUAGAGGAGUCCAUUGCUUUGCUUAGUAUUAAAUAUUGAUUUUUCUUUUCUCAUUAUCUGUUUAUAUGUUUCCCUUUAGUUUUGUAAUAUUGUGUUUAUCUUAGGCGUGUUUCUCUUACUAUUAUUUUUCUUUUUUUGUUCUAAUGACAUUGAAGGUUCUCCUAGUCCAAUUAAAAUCCAAAGCCCAUCUCUUUGUUCAAACUUUUGAUAUUUAAUGUCCUUCAUACAUUUUUCAAUGUUUAAUCUUCGCAUUGAGGACAAUGAUUCAUUUAAGUUGGGGAGUAAGGACCAUCCAAUUUUUAGCAAAGAAUAUUAUCUAUGGUACAUAUAAACUUUUUAUCAUGUCCCGAUUACUUCAUUUUAUAGCUACGACGAAUGUAAUGACACAAGUUCUUAAAAGAGAUGAAAAUCCGUAUUGAGGGCAUUCCAUAAAAGAGUUAUGCGACAUGUACAUCUAGCUUUACACCUAGUUUUUUUACUUAUGUGAGUUGAUAGAAUUUUAUACAUUGAUUUUAACAACAAUUUUUUAAAUAAUGGACAAAUUUCUAACACAUGGGCAAGUGUCACAAGGGUGACAACAAUGGGUGUACAAAUGGCAUAAUCCUGCAUAAAAAUCCAAGCAAGUCUUUGAGCCCAUAAUAUUCUUUGGAGAGUAACCAUUUUACCCAUCAAUCUUCUAUAACUAUUGGUCCAUAUUGUUAAAAAAAAAAUGUGAAAAAGGAGAGAGUGUUGUCAUUUUGAUGAUCUUUGAGCAUGUAUAUAUAAAUAACCAAUUUAUUUUUCUAAAAGAUGAUAGUAAGGGCAUCUUUGAUCCGUUUAACCCUUUUUGGCCUACCAAAUAAAUAUAUAUCCUUAGUAACCACUUUGAAGCCUCAUGUUCUUAAAAAUAUAAUGAUGAAAUGAGAAAGAGAACUAGCUCAAAAGGCCUCUCUUCAAAAACAAAUUCAAAACACGACAACAUAUAAAUCUAUACUUUCCUCUUUCAUACUUUAUUUAUAAACCUCAUAUGUUCUUUCAUUAGCCUUAUCAUAGCCUACGUUUUAACCAAAUAAAAAGUUAUUCUUUUUUUAAUAAACAAUGGUUUGAAAUAUAUGCUUGUUACAAUGAGAUACUUAAUACGGUGACACUAAAAAAGGAUAGGGGAAAAUAAAGAAAAAAAUGGGAAAAAAAUUGGUUUGACUGUCAUUAUUUGCAAUAAUGAGAUCAUUCAUAUUUUUUAAAAAGAUAUGGGCAAUAUUUUCCUUGUUUGGUGUGUGUGUGUGUGUGUGAUAUACAAAUAUUUUGUAUGCUAUAUCAGGGGUAUAUUUUUCUUCCGAGUGUUAUCUUGUUAGAAUUUAUGAAAUUCAAUGGUUACACAUACAAAUUACCAAUUUUUUUUCAAGUAAUUCACUCUCUCACACACACACACAUUUAUCACAUCUCUUUAGCUCAUUUACCCACCAAUAAAAGAUUGAGAAAUAUAACAUUUUAUAGAUUAGAAAUUAAAACCGGUCAAACAUAUUUAAUUAAUAAUUUUCAUUUUUUUCCAUGCAAAUUUCAUGUUUGUAAUCAAACAUACCCUUAGGAAAAACAGAAAGGGUGAUUAUAUUGCCACAUCAAAAUUUUAUUGAACCACCACAUUUUUUCUAUUUACAAAAAUAACCAUAAUUAAAAUGACAUAAAUAACCACCAACACCCAUACAUUGUUUCAUCUAUUCUAUGUACACCAUGGAUUCAAACCCUAACCUAUACAGGAUGGUGACCUUCCAAUUUCGUUCAUAAUCCAUGGUUUUUUCUUUGUCUUUUUACUCCAUCAUCUCCAUUUAAGUUUGCAGUUGCUCAAUUUUGUGUAAUUUACUAGUUUCAUCUGACCAGUGUAUGUUUCUGGGUUAUUGUCUUAAGGUGGUAUGAUUUUCUGUUAUCUUCUUUCUACCUCUGUUAUCCAUAAUUAUUGCAGAGGGUAGAUUUUCUCACAACAAACGCAAAAGAACUCGUGGAAAUGAAAUAAUCAUUAAUCUGGAUGUCUACAAUGAGCUUGUAGGAAAUAAAAUAAUCAUAAUCCUUUUAACUACCAAGAAUAUUUUCUAUCUGAUAAUGCUUACUGAUCUGAAUUCGUGUCUCUCUCUCUCUCUCUCUCUCUCUCUCUCUCUCUCACAAUUGGAGUCGGAAUAUAUAUAUGUAAAAUGUUUUUAGUGUAAUUAUAAAAAACGUGUUUUGAUUAGUGGUGGAAAAAAAGAAUGUGGUGGUAAUAUAAUCAUACUUAGGUUUAUAAUUGUGAAUUUAUCGUGGUGUAUUUAUCAAAAACAUGUUUUAAUUGUAGUUGGAGUAGGAAAUAAAUUUUUUAGUGAUAAUAUAAUUAUCCACAAAGAAAUCAAUAUAUUCAUAUAUUUAAGUGUGAAUAUUACAUGAUAAGCCUCCUCUUUACAUGACUCUUGAGAUAGAUGUUUCUCUCUCUCCCUUGAUUUGCAUGACUUUCAUUUUCCACUUGAAUGUCCCACCGUAUACACUCUCUGAUUAUUUAUAUGUAUAUUGUGGUAUUGAUAUACAGAUAUAGAUAUGAUUAUGUUUGUGGAUUCUUGCUUAUUUUUUAAAUUGACGCUUCAAAAGAACGGGGAGCAAAAUGAAGUUUCAUUAGAACUUUUGGUACCAAAAAAAAAGGUCCCUAGUAUCAGCUGCUUCUCUAAUCAUCGCCUCACAAACCCGCCUCCAACAUGGCUUCUGAGAAAGAUGUUGCACUCUCCGUUGAUCCGCCUGGUUCUCCUGUUACGGAUGAUUGUUUUCACAAUUUCUAGCUUUUAGGGGUUUUGGUGGAUUGGCACCAUCAGAAGUUGUGAUUGUCCCUAAAGAGAAAUUGACAGGAGUUUCUAAGGCUGAGGAGGAGCAUUGUCAGAUGCUUGGCCAGUUUCUUUACACUGCUAAGCGGUUUGGUAAACGAGAAGGCCUCCUCAAUCGUGGCUUUUAAGAGUCGUGAUUAAUGAUGGGCCUGAUUGAGGUUAGUAUUCUUUCUUAUUUGCUUUUAACAUUCAACUUUUAAGUAACUUAAAGUUGUUCUAUCUGAAAGUCAUUUUUGGACAUGCCGAUCCGGAGAUUGCCUUCAUAUGGUAUUCCUCGGGGGCCGAAAAUUGAAAUGGCCACCGGGUAAACUAAAGUUAGGAUGUAUUUCUGGUCGCUAAGGAUGUAACAAUCUAUCAGUUUGCUUUAUCGAGACAAAUGGGUACCAUGCAUUUUAUAAAUAAAUUUAUUAAGGCAGCUCGUCUUGUACUAGAGCAGGUCAAACCUUUUAACCAUCUGCUGUUAUCAAUUUAACCAUAUGUCCUUGUUAUCACUAUCUUGAUGGGGCUUUUAUCUUUGUGAUCACAAUCAUUAUGGGGCUUUAUGUUUUUGUAGCUUAUUUGAGUUACUGGUGAUUGUUUGGAUAUAUGAAUAGCUCCAUUUCUCCUA